Molecule: non-coding RNA, 505 nt
Organism: Equus caballus (horse)
Lineage: Eukaryota; Metazoa; Chordata; Mammalia; Perissodactyla; Equidae
Source: RefSeq, a predicted model, not a curated record
CCAGGGGACCCUGCUGAUGGCCACCUUAAUAGACCUGGGUGCUUAUACCAAGAAGGUCAUCAUUCAGAUUAUUUCUGGGUAUUUCUUUAGUUUCUUUGCCAACAUCUUCCUUCAAGUUUACUCAAGAUGGAGCAAGCCUGCAUCCCCUUGGUAAUAUCAUCUGAGCCUUUCCACUUUCUUCCAGAGAGCUAACACUUCAGUGUGAAACUUUGUCUGGUCUUCCUUUUUUAUAUAAUAUUAAUGCAUACAAACUUACACAAUGUUGUAUGCAGGUUGUGAAGCAUAAAAAGUGAAGCCCCGAACCUACCACCAGUCUUAAGAUGAGUACCAUUGAAUUCACCUGCGUGUUUUUCCCUGUCAUAUCCCCUGCCUCACACCUUAGAGGCACCCACUCUCCUGAGUUGUCUCUCAUUUCCUUUAUAAACAGUCUUCACAUAUGUAUCUCUAAAAAAUAGACUGUUUUGCUUUGUUCUUGAAUUUCAUAAAAAUGGUAUCAUGCUGAAAA